AGCUCUGCUGGAGAGACCUGAGGCUUGCAACGCUGGGCCCGGCCGAGUCGCUGCGGCUGGGCUGGAGGUGAGGCGAAAGAAGGGCAUCCUCUGAUGGGAGUGGACCGGAGUCCGCUAAAGCGAAACAUUCCAGGGUCAAGGAUGCAUUCCAGGAAAGUUCCAUAAAAAUAUACCAUCAACUCCAACCUGAUAUUUGACCUAGCUGUGGAAAACCUCAUUGGCUCCUCACUAGAUCAGACCAUAAAAAUGAUUCAGGAAUGAAAAUCUAAGAUAAAUUCCCACCACUUCAAGAUGUUCUUAUACAAGUCAACAGUCUAGCAGAUCAGCCAGUCUCUUUCAUCAUCAAGCAGACAUACUCAAGAAAGAGGAAUAGUGAAGUGAAAUAUACAGAAGCAUGUUCAAGUUCAUCUGUUGAAUGUGGAAUUGUGAAUAGUGACAAUAUUGAGAAAAAUACUGACUCCAAUCUGCAAACUUCAACUUCAUUUGAGCCACAUUUCAAAAAAAAAAAAAAGAAAAAUUUGAAACAUUAAGGGAAAACAGUUGGGUAAAAGAUCCAUUUGCUUUUCGAAACCUUGAAU
RNAcentral lists this small RNA (578 nucleotides) under Pongo abelii (Sumatran orangutan). RNAcentral's name for it is "processed transcript". Lineage: Eukaryota; Metazoa; Chordata; Mammalia; Primates; Hominidae. The record is from RNAcentral.